GACGAACGCUGGCGGCGUGCUUAACACAUGCAAGUCGAACGGAAAGGCCCUGCUUUUGUGGGUUGCUCGAGUGGCGAACGGGUGAGUAACACGUGAGUAACCUGCCCUUGACUUUGGGAUAACUUCAGGAAACUGGGGCUAAUACCGGAUAGGAGCUCCUGCUGCAUGGUGGGGGUUGGAAAGUUUCGGCGGUUGGGGAUGGACUCGCGGCUUAUCAGCUUGUUGGUGGGGUAGUGGCUUACCAAGGCUUUGACGGGUAGCCGGCCUGAGAGGGUGACCGGCCACAUUGGGACUGAGAUACGGCCCAGACUCCUACGGGAGGCAGCAGUGGGGAAUAGUGCACAAUGGGCGGAAGCCUGAUGCAGCAACGCCGCGUGAGGGAUGACGGCCUUCGGGUUGUAAACCGCUUUCGCCGGUGACGAAGCGUGAGUGACGGUAAUGGGUAAAGAAGCACCGGCUAACUACGUG
RNAcentral lists this ribosomal RNA (468 nucleotides) under uncultured bacterium. RNAcentral describes it as "partial 16S ribosomal RNA". It matches the Rfam family "Bacterial small subunit ribosomal RNA", at positions 28 to 507 of the family's 1533-position model. The record is from RNAcentral.